UUGCUUUGGCACCAAAUACAGUAACAUUGGAACAAUACAGAGAAGACUAGCAUGGUCCCCUGUGCAAGGAUGACAUGCAAAUUUGUUAAGCAUUCCAUAUUGGA
RNAcentral lists this small nuclear RNA (104 nucleotides) under Mustela putorius furo (domestic ferret). Lineage: Eukaryota; Metazoa; Chordata; Mammalia; Carnivora; Mustelidae. The record is from RNAcentral.